AUCGAACGCUGGCGGCAGGCCUAACACAUGCAAGUCGAGCGGAUGAAGGGAGCUUGCUCCUGGAUCCAGCGGCGGAAGGGUGAGUAAUGCCUAGGAAUCUGCCUGGUAGUGGGGGAUAACGUCUGGAAAAGGGCGCUAAUAACGCAUACGUCCUGAGGGAGAAAGUGGGGGAUGUUCGGACAUCACGCUAUCAGAUGAGCCUAGGUCGGAUUAGCUAGUUGGUGGGGUAAAGGCCUACCAAGGCGACGAUCGGUAACUGGACUGAUAGGAUGAUCAGUCACCCUGGAGCUUGACCGCGGUCCAUGCUCCUGCGAGAGGCAGCAGUGUCGAAUGUUGGGCAGUGGUCGGAAGCCUGAUCCAGCCGUGGCGCGUCUGUGGAGAAGGUCUUCGGUUUGUGAAGCACUUUAACUUGUGGGAAAGCGCUGUAGGUUGAUACCUUGCUGUUUUGACGGUACCGGCUGAAUAAGCACCGGCUAACUUCGUG
Molecule: ribosomal RNA, 484 nt
Filed under: uncultured bacterium
Lineage: Bacteria
Description: partial 16S ribosomal RNA
Rfam family: Bacterial small subunit ribosomal RNA
Source: RNAcentral